Molecule: ribosomal RNA, 492 nt
Filed under: uncultured bacterium
Lineage: Bacteria
Description: partial 16S ribosomal RNA
Rfam family: Bacterial small subunit ribosomal RNA
Source: RNAcentral
GACGAACGCUGGCGGCGUGCUUAACACAUGCAAGUCGAACGGAAAGGCCCCCACUUUUUUGGUGGGGGUGCUCGAGUGGCGAACGGGUGAGUAACACGUGGGUGAUCUGCCCUGUACUUCGGGAUAAGCUUGGGAAACUGGGUCUAAUACCGGAUAGGACCAUGGUUUAGUGUCUCAUGGUGGAAAAAUUAUUGUUUUGGUGCAGGAUGAGCUCGCGGCCUAUCAGCUUGUUGGUGGGGUAAUGGCCUACCAAGGCGUCGACGGGUAGCCGGCCUGAGAGGGUGGACGGCCACAUUGGGACUGAGAUACGGCCCAGACUCCUACGGGUGGCAGCAGUGGGGAAUAUUGCACAAUGGGCGCAAGCCUGAUGCAGCGACGCCGCGUGGGGGAUGACGGCCUUCGGGUUGUAAACUCCUUUCGUUAGGGACGAGGCCGCACCUUUUUGGGGUGUGGUGACGGUACCUUUGUUAAGAAGCACCGGCUAACUACGUG